UCCAGAUCUAAGGAACCAAUCAAAACUCUUCCAUUUAGACCUUUCAGACAACCAAAUUACUGGGCCGGUACCUGGUUGGAUUUCAGAACUUAGUCUUCUUCAAUAUCUGAAUCUUUCACGCAAUCUUCUGGUUGAUCUAGAAAGACCUUUGUCUCUUCUUGGUCUUAGCAUCUUAGACCUGCAUCAUAACCAGCUCCAAGGGAGCAUUCCAGUUCCUCCAUCAUUUAUUACCUAUGUGGAUUACUCAAGCAAUAAUUUUUCUUCCUCCAUCCCCCCUAACAUCGGUAAUUACUUCAACUUUACCUUUUUCUUCUCCCUUUCAAAUAAUCACCUUAUCGGAGCAAUACCGCAAUCGAUAUGCAGUUCCGAAUGGCUACAAGUUCUUGACUUGUCUAACAACAGUUUGAGUGGAGCAAUACCAUCCUGUUUAAUUGAGAAGAUUAAGACUCUUCGUGUUCUAAAUUUAAGGAGAAACAACUUCGAUGGAAUUAUUCCUGAUAAAUUUCCAAGAAGCUGUGAAUUGAAGACUCUGGAUCUGAGUGGAAACAACUUGCAAGGGCAAGUUCCAAAAUCUCUGGCAAAUUGCACAAUGUUAGAGGUCUUAGACCUUGGGAACAAUCAAAUCAAUGACAGCUUCCCGUGUCUUCUUAAGAACAUAUCGAGUUUUCGUGUCCUUGUUCUGCGAAACAACAUGUUCUCCGGGCCUAUUGGAUGUCCACAAAUCGAAGGCACUUGGCCAAGGCUUCAGAUCGUCGACCUAGCUUUCAACCAUUUCAGAGGAAAUCUACCAGAUAUUUGCUUGAAAACGUGGGAAGGAAUGAUGGAAGGUGGAAACAGAAGCCUUGAGCACAUAAGAUAUGAUCCCCUGAAGCUGACGAAUGGACUGUAUUAUCAAGAUUCAAUAACAGUCACACUCAAGGGUCUCGAGCUGGAGCUGGUGAAGAUACCAACUGUCUUUACCUCUGCUGACUUUUCAAGCAACAACUUUGAAGGGCCAAUACCAGAUGCCAUAGGACAGUUCAAUGUCCUCUAUGUUCUCAACUUGUCACAUAAUGUACUCACAGGCCAAAUUCCAUCAUCUUUAGGCAACCUGUCACAGCUCGAGUCCUUAGACCUCUCAUCUAACCAAUUGUCGGGACAAAUCCCAGCACAGCUAACAAGCCUGACAUUCCUUUCAGUCCUGAAUCUCUCAUAUAACAGGCUAGUGGGACGGAUCCCAACAGGCAAUCAAUUCCUGACGUUCUCGUCCGAUUCCUUUGAAGGUAACCAAGGAUUAUGCGGGCCUCCGUUAAUUUUAUCGUGCAACUAUACCUUUGUAUCAAAUUCUGGUAUAGACAUUGACUGGGUCUUCUUAAGUGCUGGAUUGGGAUAUAUCUUCGGGUCGGGCAUUAUUGUUCUACCUCUUAUGUUUUGCAAGAGAUGGAGAACAUGGUACUACACACAUGUUAAUCGUGUAAUUUUCAGGAUCUUCCCUCAACUAGAAAAAAGAAGAAAGAAUCUUGGCAGAAGAGCUCAAAGAAAUAGAAGAAGGCAGUAACAUUGGUGAAGAAAAUCAAUGAGCAUUUGCGAUUAAUAUUUCCUAUGGCUUCUUUUUUAUAUACUGCUGUAUGUUUUGUUUUGUUUUCAGUUUUAUAGACAUUUGCAAUAAGUUCAGUUUCAAUUUUAGUUUUUAUUCUGUGAGUUAUUGUGUUGUGUUGGGAAAAUUGAUACCAAUCUAAUUAAAUACACAGUUUACAAUUCACAAGUCUCAAAUUUAUUUUUUUCUCUUUGUGCAAUCAAAAUUAGAAUUAACCAAUUAACAAAAUAAUACAAUCAAUCACAUAACUCAAUACCAAGGAUUUUACGAGACAAACCCGAUAUGAAAAAAAUCACGGAACCAUAGUCCACCUAAAAUCUCACACUAUCAAUAAAUAAUGGGUUCAUAAUUGUUUUUCCUUAGCUAUAACUAAGGGUACAACAUACAUACAUACAUACAUACAUACAUACAUACAUACAUCAUCAAGAACGAUAUAUUCUUAGAAGACAACAAGAUUAAAGAGAGAAAGGUUUGGGAAAAUCUCAUAACACGUCAGCCCUGUUUUUUGCCAAAAUGAUCCACUUAGACACCAUCACUCUUCAAUCUAACAGUCCAGAAUGAAUAGCAACCUGUUUGAAAUCUGCUAUCAAAAUCUCAGCCUAAUCCAUCGAUGAACAAUUUGGAAAUCGAAGAAUGAAGGCAGACUGCUUAAGCUAUCUCUUUUGGUUUCUCUCUCGUACUCUCUUUUAUCUUGUAAGGCAUUUUACCACAACAAUGAUAUUUGUUAUUUAUAUUAGAGUAAGCUAACACUAAUCACUUAAGAGCCUUCUUCUUUUCUUUAUUUAAAAUGUGUGGUAGUCCCAUUGUCAUAUGGUAUGGAACCACACAUAACAAAUCUCCUCCUCAUACACCAUGUGAAGAAUUCAUCAUACCAGCAAUCAACUUGUAAGCUUCAAUUUGAGAGGCUUUACCAAGCCCACUUCCUUUCUACAAAACUCAAACCUCUAUCUUGGUAGAGGUUUGAUCAUUAUAUCUAACACAUUGUUAUCGAUAUGAAUCUUGUCAACAACAAAAGUCUUCAUCUUUAUAGCAUCUCAAAUUCAUUGAUAUCUAACCUCAAUGUACUUUGAUCAAGAGUGAAAAGUAGGGUGCUUUGCACUUUGACUAUCACAAUACAACACAAAGUUCUCUUAAAUUAGGCCAAGUUCAUGUAAGAACUUCUUCAUCCAUAACAACUAUUUGCCCCCUUCAGUAAAAACAAUAUAUUCAGCCUCUAUAAUGGAUAAUACAAUAUAUUUUUGCAACUUUGAUUGCCAUUAUAUUGUUCUCUUAUAAAGGUCAUCAAGUAUCUAGAUGUGAACUUUCUAAAAUCAACAUCACCUGCCAUAUCUGUAUAUGUGUAACAAUUUAACACAGUUUAUCAUUGUCAAAACAUAAAUUGAAACUAGAAGUACAUUUGAGAUACCUGAGUAUCCAUUUCACGGCUGACUAGUGUUCUUUAUCAGGAUUGUAGAGAAAUUGACUAACCACACCAACUAUAUAAGCUAUAUCUAGCCUUGUGCAAACCAUGACAUACAUCAAGCUACAAGCUACAUAUGCAUAAAGAACCUUUUUUUUUUAUCUCAUUUCUUUUUUUAUAUAACUUGAAGGACACUACUUAGAACUUAGUUUAGAGUGGUUUGCAAGUGAAGAACAAACAGAAUUGGAGUUACUCAUGUUGAAUCUCUUAAGUAAUUUUUUAACAUAUCUCUCCUGAGAUAGCCAAAGUUUCUCAUUCUUCCUGUCACGAGUAGUCUUCAUGCUAAGAAUUUGUUUUGUUGGUCCUAAGUCUUUCAUUGCAAAAGGUUUGUUUAACUCUCCCUUCAAACUCUUAAUCUUCCUAAUAUCAUGACCAACAAUCAGCAUAUCAUCCAUAUAUAAUAACAGAAUAAUAAAGUUUUCAUCUGAAAACCUUUUCAUAAGCACACAAUGAUCAGAAGUGGUUCUAUCAUAACCAUGAUCCACUAUGAAAGAAUCAAACUUUUUAUACCAUUGCCUUCAAUUUUGCUUCAACCCAUACAAACUGAUGUGCCGUGAAUGAUUCGAAAAAUCGGCAACAAUAAAUCUGACGAAAAUGGAUGAAGGAUGGGUCUGGUUGUGUUGUCUUUCUUUUGGUGUUUAGGCUGGAUUAUAGUGAUUUCAAGGUAAAUAAGAUGGAGGAUAGACUAGAAUGAUACUUUGAUAAGUCGAUCUGGACGCCACAAAGAUCAAUCUAGGAUUUCGACGCCACACUCUUUGUGAUUGAAGAGUGAUAAGUCAGGUAGGGUUCUUCAUAAAAUCAAUUUGGAAGAACAACUCUUAAUUCUGUGAAUUAAGUUUCAAAUCUUGGCCAAAAGUUCUUUAUUACAUAUUCUGAUACUAUAUUUAUAAUUGAAACAUCCCUCCAAAGUUAGGAAUAAUUCAACAUGGCAGAAGUCAAGCCCAAAAAACAGACUUUGACAAACCAACCUAGACAAAUUAACUAGCACACGUUUUUUGACCUUUCUAACAUAAACAGACCAAAUUUAAAACAAUCAUAUCUUCUUACACAAAAGUCCAAUGCAAUCAUGGUUGGACAAUCUAGAAAGAACACGUUCUGAACUUGAAAUCCACCUAGAUUAGUCUUAUUUUCACAUGCAAUGGAUGACUUCAAAUUCAGGUUCAAAUUCAUUUGCUGUUCUGCCCAUAAACAGCAUCAAUUCCUUCAUUUAUUUGCAUAUCAACCCAAAUUCGAGUAGCCCAGCAUCAAAAGAACAAUUAAGGGCUUUUCUCAUCUCCAAGUUCCAAUUGUAGGCAAAUAAACAUCCUUGAACCAAUUUCAAACUGAUUGCUAAUUUUUAACUCUGACGCAGCUUCAAUCAUUCCAAUUUGACUCGUCAAGGCCCUUUGUAGUUGUUUCGCUCUCGCUCUUGUCAUUGGACCAUCUGAAUCCUCUUGCACAUUAGUUUUAGCUUUACAAGAUGGAUUAUAAUUCCCAUGAUGCACAUCAUCAGCCCCGGGUUGAAAAUGAUUUGUCCUCAAAUCAGAAUCGUCAUCGUCAUCCAAGUAUGGAGUCAAGUCUUUCACAUUAAAAGUAGCUGAUACGUUGUAAUUACCAGGAAGAUCUACCUUAUACGCAUUGUCAUUCACCUUCUCUAUAAUCCGAAAUGGACCAUCAGCCCUUGGCAUCAACUUGGACUUACGUUUGCUUGGGAAUCUGCCCUUGCUAAUAUGAAUCCAAACAAGAUCUCCAGGUUAAAACCUAACCAUUUUCCGCCCCUUGUUAGCCUGUUUAGCAUACUUUAUCGUUUUCUCCUCAAUAUGUAAUCGAACCUGCUCAUGUAGUUUCUUCAUCAAUUCUGCCUUUCUAAUUCCAUCCAUAGAUGUCCUCUCAUCAAUUGGAAUAUGAAUAAGAUCAAUAGGAACACAAGGAUUAAAGCCAUACACAACCUCAAAUGGUGAAAAUUUUGUAGCCCCAUGCACACUACGAUUAUAUGCAAACUCCACAAUAGGCAAACAAGUAUCCCAACUCUUCAAAUUCUUAUGUAUAACAGCUCGUAACAAAGAAGAUAAAGUUCGGUUUACUACCUCAGUUUGUCCAUCAGUUUGUGGAUGACAUGCCGUACUGAAAAGUAACUUCGUUCUAAGCUUCCUCCAAAGAGUCUUCCAAAAGUGGCUUAAGAACUUUGUAUCACGAUCAGAGACAAUGCUUUUAGGAACUCCAUGCAAACGAACAAUCUCUUGAAAGAACAAAUCAGCAACAUGUACUGCAUCAUCAGUUUUGUUGCAAGGAAUGAAAUGAGACAUUUUGGAGAAUCGAUCAACCACGACCAUUAUUGAAUCCUUUCCACGCUGUGUUCUUGGUAACCCAAGUACAAAGUCCAUGCUAACAUCCAUCCAUGGUUGCUCUGGAAUAGGCAAUGACAUAUACAGUCCAUAUGCAUUCUCUUUACCCUUAGCUUUCUUGCAAAUAGCACAUCUCUCAAUCACCUUGUGCACAUCCCGUAACAUGCUAGGCCAAAAGAAAUGUUCUUUCAGCAGCUCAUAAGUCUUCUUCUCCCCAAAAUGACCACUAAGACCACCACCAUGAGCCUCUCGCACAAGCAACUCCCGUAACGAUCCUGAAGGAAUACACAUUCUGCCCAUUUUGAACAAGUAACAUUCAUGCAUAAAGAACCCAUCACAAGCUCCCUUUGCACAUUCAAUAACCACAUUAGCAAAGUAGGAAUCAUUAGCAUACUGUUCCUUCACUUGUUCAAAACCCAUCAGCUUUGCAUUCAACAUAGAGAUCAGUGCAAACCUCCUAGAAAGAGCAUCAACAACCACAUUAACUUGCCCUUUCUUGUACUUUAUGACAUAAGGAAAUGACUCCAUAAACUCCACCCAUUUAGCAUGUCUGCGAUUCAGCUUGCUUUUCCCCUUAAGAUACUUCAAGGAUUCAUGAUCAGUAUGUAUAACAAAUUCUUUAGGCAACAAGUAGUGCUGCCAUACCUCUAGAGCCCGAAUCAAAGCAUAGAACUCCUUGUCGUAAAUAGAGUAGUUCAAACGUGCUCCAUUUAACUUUUCACUGAAGAAUGCAAUCGGCCUCUUUUCUUGCAGCAAGACAGCCCCAAUUCCAACUCCGGAAGCAUCACACUCUAUUUCGAAUGUUUUAGCAAAGUCUGGAAGUGCUAAAACUGGAGCAGUACACAACUUCUCCUUAAUUAGCUCAAAUGCUUUCUGCGCAUCUUCACUCCAUCUAAAGUCGUUCCUUUUUUUUAAGCAUUCUGUCAUAGGAGCAACAAUAGAGCUGAAGUCUUUCACAAAUCGCCUGUAGAAAGAAGCCAAACCAUGGAAACUCCUCACAUCAGCGAUACUAGCAGGUUUUGGCCAGUCCCGAAUUGCCUCAAUUUUCUCCUCAUCAACCUUAACUCCCCUGCUAGAGAUAAUAUACCCAAGAAACACGACACUUUCUUUACAGAAGUAACACUUUGUGAGUUUCCCAUACAACUUAGAAUCUCGCAAAGUUUCAAAUAGAACUCUAAGAUGCUUCAUAUGAUCAUCAAAGGUCUUGCUAUACACCAGGAUAUCAUCAAAAUAUACUACAACAAACAGCCCAAUAUACUUCCUCAAAACAUGAUUCAUAAGCCUCAUAAAUGUACUAGUCGCAUUAGAUAACCCAAACGACAUUACCAUCCAUUCAUAUAACCCCUGUUUAGUUUUAAAUGUUGUUUUCCAUUCAUCUCCUUUUGUUGGCUUCGUAUCUGAUCCUCUCUAACCAGUUGAGAACUCAAUGGUAACAAGUUCACCAUCCUUCCAUUCAACAUAAAAGAAUAAGUGUUCUUUCGUCCAUUAUAGGUCACAUCCUUAUCAAACUGCCAUGGACGACCCAUCAACAAAUGGCUAGCUGACAUCGGCGCAACGUCACACAAAACCUCGUCAUGAUAGGUUUUAAUGGAAAAAGGUACACGAACUUGCUUUGUCACCCGAAUCUCCCCAUUCUCAUUCAGCCAUCGCAAACUGUACGGCCUGGGAUGUGGAAGGGUAGUUAAACCCAAUUUCUCCACCAAGGUAGUUGACGCAACAUUAGUGCAACUUUCAUUGUCAAUGAUCAUCCCACACACCUUAUCUCGAAUCUGACAUCGAGUAUGAAAGAUGUUCUCGCGUUGCUCAUCACUAACGUCAAUUUGUGCAUUCAGAACCCGUUGCACAACCAAUAAAUCUCCCUUUACUGGUUCGAAAUCCUCUUCUUGUUCAGCCACUUGUACCUCAUCUUCAUCUUCAGUUUCAACCUCAUCUCCACUGAUCAGCUCUCCAUGAUCCCCAUGCAAAAUCAUCACCCUUUUAUUUGGACAUUCUGAAGCAAUGUGCCCAUGUCCUAAGCACUUGAAGCACUUGAUGUCCUGAGACCUCCUAGGAUGUUGAGGUUCUGUCACCUUCUCCUUCCCCUUCAAAGAAUCAGAACUGUUAUUCCCCUUAGUAAACUCCACCUUCUCAUCUCGUUUAAGUGUGCUCCAUGUUCGUGUAGGUGUAGAAACAGCCCUUGUUGUGCUUGACGUAGUUACACCAGUUCGGACACCUCCUCGUUUCUGUUGCCUCUCUACUCGAGUUGCAAGCUUUAUAACUUCCUCAAGGAAGAUGUACGGCUGUAAUUCAACAACAUUAGCUAUAUCCUUCCUCAACCCUCCAAGAAAUCUAGCUAUUGUUUGCUCUUGGGGUUCCAUCAAUUCACAUCGAAUCAGCAGCAACUCAAACUAUUUCACAUACUCUUCCACGCUCAAAGAUCCUUGUCGCAAAGUUUGAAGUCUGAUGUAUAGCUCCUGUUUAUAGUAAUCAGGAACAAAUCUCUUCUUCAUCACUCUUUUCAUAGUUGCCCACGUUAUAAUCUCCUCUUCUUCAUCCCUUCUCCUCUGAAUCUUCAAGUUUUCCCACCAUAAAAGAGCAUAAUCUGUAAACUCAAGUGCUGCCACCUUGCACUUCCUUUCUUCAGAAUAUUCAUACCAUUCAAACACCUUUUCAACCUUCUGAAUCCUCUUGCACAUUAGUUUUAGCUUUACAAGAAGAAUUAUAAUUCCCAUGAUGCACAUCACAAACUUUUUUCCAACUUGUAAACUAGUUGCUUUUUGCAUUUUACUUCAAACCCUUUAGGUUACUCCAUGUAGAUAUCCUCAUCUAAGCCACCAUGGAGAAAAACAGUUUUCAAAUCAAUUUGUUCAAUUUCAAGAUUCAAACUAGCAGCUAAACUAAGCACAACUCAGAUUUAAGACAUCUUAACCACUAAUGAAAAGAUUUCUUUAAAAUCAAUACCCUGCUUCUGACCAAAACUUUUCACAACCAAUCUUGCCUUGUUCCUUGGUUAUGAACAAUGUUCAUCAAUUUUCAAAUUAAAUACCUAUUUGUUCUUGAGUGCUUUUUUUUCUUUAGAAAGUGUCAUUAACUCAAAAGUGUGGUUUUCAUAUAAAAACUUUAUCUUUUCAUGCAUGGUUUGUAACCACUCACUUUUCUUCUCAUGUGACCAUUAGUAACCAACAUAUACUCAUGAGGAGAAUCUCUGGUGGAAGGUUGACGAGGUCUAGUAAACCUCCUUAACUAUAGCUUAUUUGAAGCUUCUUGAAUAACUUGUUCAAAAAUAACAUCAACAUCACCAUUAAAUGGCUCAAUAGGCAAACCACCACCAUUAUUAUUUUUCAAACCUCCCACAUGAUUAAAAUACAACAAAGGUAACUAUGAAGUAUGUCUUGGAUUCGAAUUAGCAGGAAUAAAAAUAAUAGACUAUGUUUUCUCUUUCUGUUCAAAGUCUUCAAUGGUUUAAUCUUCAAAGAAGACAACAUAUUUUCUUCUAACAAUAUUCUUCUUUUUUGAAUCUCAUAGCCUAUAGCUAAACUCAUCAUUUUUUGAACCUAAGAAAAUAAUUGUUUUGACUUGUUGUCAAGUAUAGACCUUUCAUCUUUAGAGAUAUGUAUAAAUGUCCUGCAAUCGAACACUUUUAUGUGUGCAUAAAAUACAUCAUUUCCUUUCCAUACUCUCUCUAGAAUAUCAAAGUCAAGAGGAACUAAUGGAGAAAGGUUGAUCAUGACAACUACAAUCUUCAUUGCCUCACACCAAAAAGACUUAGUAUAUCUAAAUGAUGUGGUCUUGUCAAUACGCGUCAUGUUUUUGUUGUAGCAAUUUAUAAUAAAAUGAUACUUUUACCCUUAUCGUGCAAAAACAAUUAACUAACUAACAUAGAUAAUGCGGUCUUUUCACAAGGUUUCACUAAUUAUUAUUAUAUUGAUAGGGAGUACAACAAUCUUUUUUAUAUUUUUAAAGCACAGUAAAAUAACUACAUUACUUUUAAAAUUAUUUUUUUUAACUAGCAUCCACUGAUGUUUCUGUAUUUUUAAUUUUUUAAGUACGGUAAAAUAACUUAAAAACCCAUAAAAGUAAAAUUUUGCAUUUCAAAUUCAAUUUCUCAUUAAUUAUAGUUAUUUCUUAAAAAAAUUUAUAAUCAUGUUUUUCAUGUGCACGUGGGCAUAUAUAUAUAUACACAAAUGCUUGUUUUUUCCUCUUAUGAUGCUAGGAGCAAUUUUGAAAAUAUAUAUUUAUUUAUUUAUAUAGCAAUUAAAAAAUAUAUCUGUAAGGAAGGCAACAAUUUAAAUUAUAGAAGAAAAAUAUUUUAAUGUGAAUUUUCCAUUUCUUAUUCUUGUAUUUUUAUUUUACAAAAUAUAUUUCUUUUAUUAGUAUCUUGUUUUGUGAAAAAACAACUAGAGGCAGUUAAAAUAAAUACUAAUAAAAAUUUCAUUGAUUUAAUUAAGGUGGAAAAAACAUAUUCUUUCAAUCAAACCUCCAUUACCUUAUUCAUGUUUUUUAUUUUGACAAACACAUUUUUUUUUUUAUAAAAGCAUUGUUCUUUAAAUAAAAACUUAUAAUGUUAUGAAAAGAAAACUUCAAUAAAAAAUAUAAAAAUUCAUGACUCGAUAGUUCAUACACAAUAGAAGGAAAAAAAAUAAAAAAAUAAGUAAUACGAGAGAAUUAUGAAAAAAAAAUUGAGAAUAAAAAUGAAAAAAUAGAUAUUUUAUUUUCAUUUAAUAUUCAUGAGCUUUUUUUUAUUUUUUAUAUUAGGUUCAUGUAUAAUAAUUUACAAAAUAAUUGUUAAUAUUAUCAUGAAAAGCUAUAAUUUUAUUUGAAAACCAUGAGAAAAUUAGAUAAUAUUUCAAAUAUCAUUUAAUUAUUUUAUUUAUAGUCACUUUUAUUCAAAAUUAAAAAAACAAAAACAACUAAAGGGCAAUAUAAAAAAAAGACAAGGUGCCUACGCGUGGGAGGAUAGACCAUAGUGCUUGGCCUAAAAUUAAAAAAAGCCCAAGGCAUGGGCUUGCAACGUUAGGUGUGCACAAUUUUUUUUUUCUUGUAAAAGGACAUAUAACAUAUUAGCCACCUUAAAAAAAAAAUUAAAAUGAGAAAAACAAUGUUUCCUCUAAUGGAUUUAAAAUUUUAAAUUCCAGGCACCUUCGAUGGUUUAAAAGUAAAGGUCUAAGCUUUCAGAUCUUAGAAACUCAAUUUCAAUUUGUUAUUGUCUAUAAACACCUAAAAACAUCAUGAGAAUCUCAUUAAACCUAUUUUAACAUCAUUCGAAACAUUGUCUUUCUCAUUUUAAAAGCCUAGGGCAUGCAUGGGCCUAUAAGGUCAGACGUGCACAACUUAUUUUUUCUUGUAAAAUGAUGGAUGACAUAUUAACCACCUUACAAAAAUUAAAUGAUAAAGACAAUGUUUCCUCUGAUAGAUUAAAUUUCAUGGCUUAAAAGUAAAGGUUUAAAUUUUUAGAACUCAAAAACUCAAUUUCCAAUUUGUUAUUGCAUGUAAAAACCUCAUUAAACCUCUUUUAACUAAAAAAACAUUCUUUAAUCGGUAUAAAAACUCAAAAUUAAACUAAAUAAAAAAAAUUUCAUGAUUCGAUCUACUUUUUUAAAAAAAUAAAAAUGUAAACCACCUCGAUAGAACUUCUCUUUGUUAGACGAACCCAUUGACACCACAAUUUGUCUUUUUCUUGGUCAAAAUAUGCAUGACCAACCAUUUCUCUAUGCUUUUAUUUUCUAACAAUUUUCUCCCUUCUCUCUCAACACUAAAGAACUGAAACAUAAAAAAAAUUAAAGUUUAGUAAUGAAACUUAACAUUUUAAAACUUCACAUACCAAAUGUGUUUUCAACAUUGAGUUCUGUUUUUUUUUUAUCCUGAUUCUUUCAAUUGUUUUUUUUUUUACUAUAACCUCAAGUUUACUUUUGUAAAUUUAAUCUUUUAUUGAGCGUUAGAAUUUUAUCAGACAUUUCAUAUACAUGAAAAAAUGCAAAGAUAAGAAAAUCCUAAAUAAUAAAACAUUGCUAACACGCUAUAUGAGGCUGAAAUUACCAAAAAAAAAAUGUUCGAUAACCAAAUAAAAAUAAUUAACCAUUCAUAGUGAAUUGUAUCUAUGGUCACAAUAUCCUACAUAAAAAUAGCAUAUUCCUAGAAUUCUAAUAUACUAACUAUUUUACAUGUGUACCAAGUUGAAUAAUUUUAUUUUCAACAAAAAUAUGUAAAAGGUUUUCUAAAGCGUUGUUUGACAUUAAAAAGUCUUAAUAAUAAAUUGAAAAGUCUAUGCAAAUAUUUAAUUAAAUAAAUUAAGAAUUAUCUGUGUAAAUAAAUGAAAAAAAAGUCAUUAAUGUUGAAAAAGUCAAGAGAUAGAUGCAUAUCAAAAUAUUUGAUCUCAUAACACAAAUCAUUUACCUGGUUGUAUUUAAUAACUUUAUUUAUUGAAAUUAAUUUUUAAUUUAAUCAAAUGAUAAUAGAAACAAACAUACAUGAAAUCGAUGGAAUAAAAUCAAAGUAAAAAAAAUAUUUUAUAAGGUUGUACAUCUUAGGAAAAAAUAUAUUAUCAUUUUAUGUGAAAACGAAGUAAAACUACAUGUUAUAUUUAACCAAAGAAUAAAUUGAAAAGUUGAGAGAUAGAUAUGAAUGUAAAUAUACGAUAUUGAAACACUAGGCAUGAACUUGAUUGUAUUUAAUAAAAUAAUUUCUUAGAACCAAUGUUUUAUAUAAUAAAAUAAUAAUAAUAAUAAUAAUAAUAAUAACAACACACAUAGAAAAGUGACUCAAAAGAAUUAAAGAGAAAUGUUUUUUAAGAACGGCUUUAUAGAAAGAAUGUCUUCUCGGACUAGAAAAAGAUUUUGAAAGUGUAUUCGUAAACCAAAUAAAAAAUAAAUAAUAUUUAUUUAGAAACAUUAUAAAAAUCUAUAAAAUCUAAAAAAAAAACAGCCUAUAAAUUUUUUAAUAAAAGCCAAAAACUAAAUGAUGAAAUUAAAAGGAAAAAAAAUGCAAAAAAAAAAACCAAUGACCUAAACUAUUGUGGAAAAUGACGUGUUGCCGGUUAACCUAGUUUUAGGCGACCUGAAGAUCGCUGAAAAUUUAGGCCAAGGAUUUCUUUUCCUAAAAAACUUGAUUUUAACCUGUUUUUUUAUCCAAAACACUUAGAAAACACCUUAUACACCAUGACAAACCUAUCUAUGAACUCAAAUUACUCAAAUAACGACAUAAAAAUCCAAAAUCAACUCGAAAUUAAAAAGCAUUCUCUAGCUCAUAUCUACCAUUUCAGGCAAUUUAAAGAACAAAAAAACCUAGGUGAGACUCUCCUCAUCGAAUGAAACUUAAGAUUAACUUUUUUUAUGGUCUAAAUCGGUGUAAUCGAUUUUUUUUCUCUUUAUCGCCAAAAUCCAGUGAUUCCCUCUCUCGAACUAAAGACUAAACAUGAAGAAAAUGAAGUUCUAGACUAAAAUUAAAAUCUUAAAAACCAAAGGGACUGAAAAGAAAAAAAAUGAAAAGUAUAAGGAUCAAAAUCAACUUUUCAUGAAAACUUGAAACGUGCCACCAAGUUUUGCUGUCUUUUUCACUUUGAUCCCUUAUUUUUUUAAUUUUGCCCUUUUCAACAAAUAAGAGUUAAUUGACCACAAAAAGACUGGAUUGAGGAGAGAAAAAAACUUUGAUUACGGAAAUAAAUAUAUAAAAUCACUAUGAAAGUCCAGAAAUAUGACUCUGUAUAUAGCAUGUGAGAAACAAUAUUUUCCCAACAAAACAAAGUGGGAUGUGGAUCGAAUGAUUUUGUGGAUAUGGUAGGGGUUAUGGUGUAGCUGGGCCUGCAUUCUUUAGAUUUCUACUGGCUGUUAGGACAUCAAAUUUCUCCAAAUUCCCUGGCCCAUAAUUGCGUGACUUGGCACUUGGCAGCAACUAUUUCAAUUAUUACCUCGUUUCCAAUUCUUUCUUGGCCCUAUUGAAUUGCUUUAUCUCUAUGAGAGCCACAUGAAGGAAUGAGGGAUACAUUACAGAUGGCUUGUCUGGCCACCAAGCCGGCCGGCCAGUUACCGGUAAGUUUAAUAUAGAAGAAGGAGCUGAAGCCGACAGCAUUUGCUUAAAAAAUCUUUAGGGACUCAAAAGCGACAUGGCUCCUGCAUACCAAAGAUCGGUUUAAUUGGAGCUGUUGCCUAGUUUAGAAGUGGCUGAUAGACAGCCCACUGCAGGUGUUAUUCAAUUACGAGGAAUUUUGAGACAGCCCACUGCCCUCAUCCAGCAAGAAAUGCUUCAAUCUACCGUCUACGUUCUUCUGAAUGUUAUUCUUCUUCUAUUUUUGUUAUAUAUGCCAGGAAUUUUGUGCUGGGUAUGCUUUGUUUAUUAUUUUCAGGUAGGAGGUAAGUAUGAAAAGGAAGAAGAGGCUUCUUGACUGAUGAAGAUAGUGCAAAAAGACGGGGACCAAUACCAUAACUAAGCCUCCCAUUUCCUCAAAGUGUUGCGGUCAAAGAUGUUGGCAUUUUCAGUAAUCAGGAGGACAGAAUUUCUACAGAUAUUAAAGCGUAACAUGGACUUGAGGGCAAAGCACAGUAUUUAGUAUGUGGACUUCCCACCAACCUAGCAGGCUCACAAGUUUUCCCCAAGUAUGGAUCCUUCAUGCCUUGCUGCUUCAAUGUUUCAUGAUCACAGUUGAAAAUACGAUCAAGUUUUUUUUCUUAAAAAAAAACAAAUUACCAAAGUGAUAAAUGCCAUCCCUCCUAGCAUUGCAUCCUGCAGUCGAUCUACCUUCUGUGUUUCUUCACUAAUUUAUGUAUGAUCUGUGAGUGAAGACGAGUUAUAGCAAGCCAAUGCAUGUUUCAUUCUAUGUGCAGAUAAAAUUAUUCCCUUAAUGCUCACAGCUAGAAACUAAUUAUAGUGAGCACUGACAGCCACAGGGGUCAAUUCACUGACACCCCUCUAGAAGGAGGAAUUUUUUUUCCAUGGAUAUCACUUUCAUUGAUACAUUCAACAGGUUAAUUGUAGCAGAAAAAGUGAACUUCAAGGUCCGUUUUCUGUCACACUGGCAGCGCUUUUGUGGUUUUCUUUCUCUCCAUUCUCCAUUUCCCACUUCAGUAGAAUUCCAAUCCAUCGAUCACUUCAUGUGAGCAUGCCGUCCUUCCUAUGGAGUAGACGAGCAAUGUUUGCUAGACUGAUUGAACAAAUAAUUUAUAAAAUUGAUAAAUACAAAUAAAAAUAUUGAGGAAAUAUUUUUAUUAGUAAAUUGUCAAUGAAUUUAAUUGAUAGAAAAAUUCUCUCGAUAUUUAUUAAGGGAGUUAUAGUGAAAAAAUAAAUUAAAAAAAAUAAAAAAAAACAAUGACGUGUCAUUUUUACAAACGGAAUUACCGACGGAAUUUAUUUUGUCGGUACAAUCCGUCGGUAAAUUUAUUGGUAAAUUGUGAAUAUUGUUCAUCAUGUCAAUUACAAAAGGAAUCACCAACGAAAAAUUCUAUCGGUAUUUUCUAGAGAGUUCUGGAACUGUUCAGUUUUCAAUUGCACUGUUAAUUACUGUUCUUUACAGACAAAAUCACUAACGAAUUGAAAAGUCAUCGAUGUUAUUUGUUGGUUUUCUAAAAAAAAAUUAUUAAAUUAAAAUUUUAAAUUAAAUAUUACAGACGGAAUCACCGAUGGAUUGAAAAGUCAUUGGUGAUAUUUGGCGAUUUCUGAAAUUUUUUGAUUAAAUUGAAAAUUUAAAUUAAAUAUUACAAACGAUAUCACUAACGAAUUGAAAAGUCAUCGAUGUUAUUUGUUGGUUUUCUAAAAAAAAAUUAUUAAAUUAAAAUUUUAAAUUAAAUAUUACAGACGGAAUCACCGAUGGAUUGAAAAGUCAUUGGUGAUAUUUGGCGAUUUCUGAAAUUUUUUGAUUAAAUUGAAAAUUUAAAUUAAAUAUUACAAACGAUAUCACCGACGGAAUAAUUAAAAAUAUUAAUAUUUAAUUAUCCAUCAGUAUAACCGUCAGUAAAACGCUCCAAUAAAAAGUCUAGAAUCCAUAAUUUCACAACAGAUGGGGCUCCUUUCUUCUUCUUCUUCUUCCCCAUAUGUAAAAAACAUCAAUAUCCAUUUUUUUUCUCUUCUCUUCUCUUCUCUCCUCAACUUCUUCUCUUCUCCUUCAUGCUUAGGUAUGAAUUCUUCUCCUUUCUUCUUUUUUCUUCUUAGUUUUUUUUAAUUAAUAUACUUUACAAAAAACAUUUUCUUCUUAGCUUCACUUGCAACUACAUUAAGGUAAGAUUUUUUUUCUUUUUUUCACUAUAUUUUUUUAUUUUUAAUUGUUUUUGUUCUUAAUAAUUGUAUGAAUAUUGUUGUAGGAUUUUUUUUUCAUAUGAUUUUCUUCUUCUUUUUUCUUAGCUUUUUGAGUAUUAUAGAGUGUUGAUUUAUAUUACUUUUAAUUAUUUUAUGGUUUUGUAAAAUGGAUUUUUAAAAAUAUUUUUAAAUAAUUACCGACAGAAUUACAUACGGUAUUUUUUCGAGGGAAAUACCGACGGAAUGAAACGGAUUAUUUUUUUUUGCACGCUUUUUCUAUCAGUAAAUUCAUCGGUAAUAAUAUUUUUUAUUACCGACGAAAGAUUCAUCAACAGAGCAUUUCCGUCAAUGAUUUCGUUGGUAAAUUAAUUACCAACAUAAUAAUAGUAUAAAUACUAACAAAAAAUUUUGCCAGUAAAUCGAAAGAUUGGGAUAGUGGUUGAACACAUCACAAGAAAACAAAUUUAAGAAUACCCUAAUUGAUGCCCAAAACACACACUUAAUAAGCUGGUUUCCAUGCUUGAAAUUGAUAGGCUAGAUGAUGUUUGUCCAGUCUCCACUCCCUCAUAAUAUCCAAGUGCAUUGCUGCUUGCUAUUGGCUAGCUAAAGUGUCAAGGAAACAGCCAAUGGCAACACUAGCAGAAGAAGUCCUGAAAUUAAUCAAACCAUAGAGGGGUUCCAAAUACCAAUUUACGACGGUAACGAAGGGGAGAUUGGCUUGAGAUGGGCCCAUCGGAGGAAGAAUUAUGACUCCACUUGUGUGUUAAAAUAAUCUAAUCUAGCAUGAAGUCGCUCCCAUGUCUUGCACGAUUUCUGUUUGCAAAAGACAAUCUACAAUUAUUGAAUUGGUAAUAGGUUCAAUAAUCUUAUAUUAAUUUCUUAUGAUUACUCGUUGAAUACGUACCAAGGAAGGAGUUAAGAAUUUGAAGCUGGAAAGGCAUAUUGAGAUACAAAAAUUAUUUACACAUGAAAACAUACAUAAAAUAGCUAUAGAUUCUGGGCUAAAAUGUGGUUUUUUUUAACUAAAAGGGUCCAUUUUAUAGACAAAAAUAACUAAUAAAUUAUUUCGAGCUUUGGAGUGUUGUGACUCCUGCCUAACAUCGAAGUGUUUGAUCACUACCAGAAAGAAAUUUAGCAAUUCGAAUUCAGAACUUUUAAUUAGUCAGAAGUCCCGGAAUAGGUAAAUUCUUAUAUGAUUGAAUGUUGACUCUUCUGUGGAAUUCUGAAAAAUUGGUACUACUAAUUCAUUCCUUAACGGAUACAAUUACAUAAUAUAUAAGAAUUUAUACCCGGUUUAUUUUUGUGUUUUAAAAAUAUUUUAAAAAUAUUUUUAUUUUUUUAUUUACUUUAAUUAAUAUUUUUUUGGUGUUUUCAAAUCAUUUUAAUAUACUGAUAUCAAAAAUAAUUUUUAAAGAAUAAAAAAUAUAUUAUUUUGUUGAAUUUUUGAGUGAAAAAUACUUUAAAAAAAAAACCGCAACCACACUUCCAAUCAAAUCCGAUAAAAUAAUAAUAAUAAUAAUAAUAAUAAUAAUAAAUUACCUUUCAUUUGCCAUUGAUUAAAGUAAAAUUGACGGUAUCAUGUUAUAAUGACUUGAAGUGUAAGCAUGGAAUUGAAAUAGUUUUUGCGUAUAGGAAAAAGAGGUUUAAAAAAUAUAUUUAUAGUUGUGGUUUUUAAAGAAAUAUAUAUUUCAUUAAAAUUAUUGUAAGAUAAAUUUUUUAUGUAAAAUAAAUAACAAAUAGGUCUUUAUAAAUAAAAAAAAUAUUAUUUUAGAUUAUAUAAAAUUAAAAAUUAAAAUAUAAUUAUGUACAGAACUAAUGCAAAAAUUAAAAAGAUAUUUAGCUAACUAAAUAAUUUUUGUUGUAAUUAAAGAAAAAAACAAAAACUCCAAUCAAAGUCACCUAAAAAGUCUAACCCAAGAGGAUGAAAUUGUAUGUACAGACAAAAAAUGACGUCAUCACUCAGCCUCCAGUUAGGUUCAAGAUGCCCUUUUUGUCGACGGUUUCACACGCUAUUUUAUUAACUAGUAACUAGUUUUUGUUUACGAGGCCCCAAUUAAUGCAAUAUAAUGUUACAUAAUCCAAAAUUCAUAUUCUUUUAUACAAACAACUGUACUGUGUCAGAUAAUUAAAAUAUAAAAUAACAAAAUUCUUUGUUAUAUAUUAUGGGAAAUUGAAAUGAUGAUCUAAACAGUGUUUUUUUUUUAAAAAAAAAAUUUAUUAUUGUUUAAAAAUAGUUUUUUUAUGUAUUUAAAAAUAGUUUUUUUAUGUAUUUAUAUGGUUUUAAAAAUAAAAAAUCAUUGUCAUAUUUUCAUAAACCUCUCGUAAUAAUGUGAUAAAGAAAUCUACCUGCAAUAAUAGAAAAUCCGUUGGGCCUCCUAAAAUAAAUCAUAUUCUAUGGCAGCUUGGUCUUCAUGGCUUUCACUUCACGUGAUUAGGUUUAGGUUUAGGUUUUUGUUUUGCUCUCUCUCUCUCUCUCUCUCUCUCUCUCUCUCUCUCUGUGAAAGAGUGGUGAAGCACCAAACCACUUUUGAUUCUGAAGCAACGUUUGAAAUUCAAACACCAUUUCCUUUGUUCAAGGUGAUCAAUUAGUAACUGCUUCUUUACCUAAAAGUCAAUUUGGUUAGGCUGCCUGCAUUAUUUACUUUAGUCUUUGUUUACUAUUUAUUUUUUAAAAUAUUUUUUAGUUAAAAAUAUAUUAAAAUAAUAUUUUUUUAUUUUUUAAAAUUUAUUUUUAAUAUUUGUAUAUGAAGGUAUAAAAACACACUCUAAGAGAAUAUGACACGUUGUCAUGGGCCUCAGCCUCCGUAUCAUCAUCCAUCAUAUUCUAAUUAAUUAGCCGAAGGUAAUUAAAAAAAGAAAAAAAAAGAAGAAGAAGGGGAAGGGGGGAAGGCGUUGAUUUUUCUAUACAUUGCAAGAGAGGUUCAAAACCAGAAGCUAAACAAACAAAUAAAAUAAAGCCGACAACAAAACGCGUCUAAUAUAGUUCGACUCCAUUUCUCAACUACAACCUUCAUUUUGCCUACAAACAUAGAGAGUUUAUUUUGACAAACAUUUUGCUGCUGACUCUUUCCAUAUCUCUCCCAAUCCUUUCUCUUUAGCUGCUGCUUCUUCUUCUUCUGCCUCCCAUUCUUCACUUUCGGUCGGACACCGUCCCGAGCAAAACCUGAGUCUAUUUAGGUGGCAAAGAACUGAACCUAAAACGGUCAUGUUCAUGUCUGUUUCAUUCCCUAUACCAAAACGAGAUUAAUAACAAGCUUUUCCAUCUUCAGUUAUAUGGGUGCCUCGUAAUUGUUUGCAAAUGAAAAUUCCUCUCUUUACAUGGCUUUUCUUGAUACCCUUUUUGACAAUAUUCUUUGGUGUCAAUGUGUGUUUGGUUUCUGGCCAGUGCCGGAAAGAUCAGCAAUCCUUGUUACUCCAAUUAAAGAACACUCUCGUGUUUGAUCAAUCUGUAUCUGCAAAACUAGUGAAGUGGAAUUCAACCCCAGAUUGCUGCGACUGGCCAGGCAUAACUUGCGAUGAGGGUAGUGGUCGUGUUAUCAGCCUGGACUUGAGCUCCGAACGAAUCACUGGUGGACUUGGCGAUUCAAGCGGGCUUUACAGACUUCAAUUUCUUCAGAGUCUAAACUUGUCUUUCAACAGCUUCAGCACAGCUCUGCCAGUCGGGUUUGCCAACCUCACGGAUUUGAUUUCACUGAAUUUGUCCAAUGCUGGCUUUACAGGCCAGAUUCCAAAUGAUUUCUCAAAGCUGACAAAGUUGGUCAGUCUUGAUUUGUCUGCCCUUUCCUUCCCUGGAAGUCCUGCACUGAAACUCGAGCAGCCUAAUUUUGCAACAUUGGUUCAAAAUCUCACACACCUAACAGAGCUCCUUCUUGAUGGUGUUAAUAUAUCAGCACACGGCAAUGACUGGUGCAAGGCCUUAUCAUCGUCACUGCCUAAUCUAAAAGUGCUGAGCAUGUCCAACUGCUAUCUCUCAGGCCCUCUUGAUGCUUCCCUUGCAAAGCUUCAGUCUCUUUCAAUAAUUCGUUUGAGCGGUAAUAAUUUGUCUACUCCAGUUCCAGAAUUCCUUGCAAAUUACUCGAAAUUGACUGCCUUGCAGCUCAGCUCUUGCCAGUUGAACGGUAUAUUUCCACAAGCUAUAUUCCAGGUACCAACACUAGAGAUCCUUGACUUACAAUACAACAAAUUCCUUCAGGGUUCUUUUCCGGAGUUCCAUCAGAAUCUCUCUCUUCGGACCCUCCUGCUCAGUAACACAAAUUUUUCAGGAACAUUACCACAGUCCAUUGGUGAACUCCAGAAAUUAUCCAGAAUAGAGCUAGCGGGUAACAAUUUCACUGGACCAAUUCCAAAUUCAAUGGCUAAUCUCACCCAGCUGUUUUAUCUGGACUUGUUAUCCAACAAGUUCACAGGCACACUCCCAUCAUUCCGCAAGUCCAAGAAUCUCACCUAUGUAGAUGUCUCUCACAAUCAACUAAAAGGUGAGAUUCCAUCCGGUCACUGGGAAGGCCUUCGAAGCCUCACCUAUGUUGAUUUAGGGUACAAUGCAUUCAACGGGAGCAUCCCCUCAUCGCUGUUUGCAAUCCCGUCGCUGCAGAAGAUACAGCUUUCCAACAACCGAUUUGGGGGACAGAUUCCUGAGUUUCCAAACGUGUCUUCCUCUCUUUUGGAUACCCUGGAUUUGAGCAGCAACAAGUUAGAAGGUCCUAUUCCCAGUUCUGUCUUUGGUCUUGCAAAACUCAAUGUCCUUGAACUUUCAUCCAAUAUGCUCAACGACACCUUGCAAUUACAUUGGAUUCAGAAACUUCCCAAUCUCACCACACUUGGCCUCUCAUACAACAACUUGACCGUGAAAUCAAGUGGUGGCAAUUCCAACAUGUCUUCCCUUCCCCAAAUCAAGAAACUAAGAUUAGCUUCUUGCGACCUGGGAAUGUUUCCAGAUCUAAGGAACCAAUCAAAACUCUUCCAUUUAGACCUUUCAGACAACCAAAUUACUGGGCCGGUACCUGGUUGGAUUUCAGAACUUAUUCUUCUUCAAUAUCUGAAUCUUUCACGCAAUCUUCUGGUUGAUCUAGAAAGACCUUUGUCUCUUCCUGGUCUUAGCAUCUUAGACCUGCAUCAUAACCAGCUCCAAGGGAGCAUUCCAGUUCCUCCAUCAU
RNAcentral lists this long non-coding RNA (20712 nucleotides) under Populus trichocarpa (black cottonwood). RNAcentral's name for it is "long non-coding RNA (PTRI_LNC003697)". Lineage: Eukaryota; Viridiplantae; Streptophyta; Magnoliopsida; Malpighiales; Salicaceae. The record is from RNAcentral.